ACGGAGGGUGCAAGCGUUGUUCGGAAUUAUUGGGCGUAAAGGGCGCGUAGGCGGUAAUGUAAGUCAGAUGUGAAAUACUUCGGCUCAACCGAAGAACUGCAUCUGAAACUGGAUAACUAGAGUACGGGAGAGGGAAGCGGAAUUCCUGGUGUAGGGGUGAAAUCCGUAGAUAUCAGGAGGAACACCGGUGGCGAAGGCGGCUGCCUGGACCGAUAUUGACGCUGAGACGCGAAAGCGUGGGGAGCAAACAG
This 251-nucleotide ribosomal RNA is filed under the name uncultured prokaryote. Its description in RNAcentral is "partial 16S rRNA". It matches the Rfam family "Bacterial small subunit ribosomal RNA", at positions 525 to 775 of the family's 1533-position model. The record is from RNAcentral.